Molecule: ribosomal RNA, 498 nt
Filed under: uncultured bacterium
Lineage: Bacteria
Description: bacterial SSU rRNA
Rfam family: Bacterial small subunit ribosomal RNA
Source: RNAcentral
ACUCAAAUGAAUUGACGGGGGCCCGCACAAGCGGCGGAGCAUGUGGAUUAAUUCGAUGCAACGCGAAGAACCUUACCUGGGUUUGACAUACACCAGAAAGCGGCAGAGAUGUCGCCCCCCUUGUGGUUGGUGUACAGGUGGUGCAUGGCUGUCGUCAGCUCGUGUCGUGAGAUGUUGGGUUAAGUCCCGCAACGAGCGCAACCCUUGUCCUGUGUUGCCAGCGCGUGAUGGCGGGGACUCGCAGGAGACUGCCGGGGUCAACUCGGAGGAAGGUGGGGACGACGUCAAGUCAUCAUGCCCCUUAUGUCCAGGGCUUCACACAUGCUACAAUGGCCGGUACAGAGGGCUGCGAUACCGUGAGGUGGAGCGAAUCCCUUAAAGCCGGUCUCAGUUCGGAUCGGGGUCUGCAACUCGACCCCGUGAAGUUGGAGUCGCUAGUAAUCGCAGAUCAGCAACGCUGCGGUGAAUACGUUCCCGGGCCUUGUACACACCGCCCGU